RNAcentral lists this ribosomal RNA (492 nucleotides) under uncultured bacterium. RNAcentral's name for it is "partial 16S ribosomal RNA". It matches the Rfam family "Bacterial small subunit ribosomal RNA", at positions 29 to 507 of the family's 1533-position model. The record is from RNAcentral.
AGUGAACGCUGGCGGUAGGCCUAACACAUGCAAGUCGAACGGCAGCACAGUAAGAGCUUGCUCUUACGGGUGGCGAGUGGCGGACGGGUGAGGAAUACAUCGGAAUCUACUCUUUCGUGGGGGAUAACGUAGGGAAACUUACGCUAAUACCGCAUACGACCUACGGGUGAAAGCAGGGGAUCUUCGGACCUUGCGCGAUUGAAUGAGCCGCUGUUGGAUUAGCUAGUUGGCUGGGUAAAGGCCCACCAAGGCGACGAUCCGUAGCUGGUCUGAGAGGAUGAUAACCCGCACGAGAACUGAGACAGCGUCCGGGCUCCUGAGAGAGGCAGCAGUCGGGAAUGUUGGACAGCAGGCGCGAACCUGGUCCAACCGUACCGCGUCGGAGGAGACGGCCUUGGGGUUGUAAUGCCCUUUUGUUGGGAAAAAAAAGCAGCAGGUUGAUACGCCGCUUUACUGACGGUACCCAAUAAAUAAGCACCGGCUAACUUCGUG